AUGCCUGAUUCAAGCAGGGAAAUUCUUCACACUAGAAGAGGAUUCGUUGGGCGCGACAAGGAGAAGGAUGAUAUCCUGCAGUUGCUCAUCCAGCCAUGUGCCAAGUCUGCUGUUAUCUCUGUUGUUGGUGAAGCAGGAAUUGGGAAGACAACUCUUGCUCAGAUGGUGUUCACUGAUGCAACAGUUCAGGAGCAUUUUGAUGUCAAAUGUUGGGUGUCAGUUUCCAGUAGCUCCAACAAGAUGGAGCUCGCAGCCGAGAUCCUAAGGUCUGUCCUACCGGCCUGGGAUGGCUCCGCUGACAAGAUGCUGGAUUUUAAAAUGCUUCAGUCGGAGCUCCGUCGAGCUCUUACAUCCAAGAGGUAUCUGAUUGUUCUUGAUGAUGUGUGCAACAUCACAGAUGAAACCUGGAUGGACAUGCUCGCUCCUCUACAGUCAGCAGAUACCGGGAGCAGAAUUAUGGCGACUUCCCGCAUGGACACCAUGCCUCACAUCUUCAGAGCGUCGCAGCUGUACACCGUGAAUCCGCUGAAGAGCGAGGAUUGCUGGACCCUGCUGAAGGAACAUGCUUUGCCAAGUGAUCCCGGUAAUGUCUAUCAAGAACUUCACCCGAUCGGGAAGCAGAUUGCUGAAAAAAUCAAUGGAUCACCUCUGGCUGCUAAGCUAGUGGGAGGUUUGCUGGGAGAUACAAGGAGCACAAUUCACUGGAUGAACAUCAUGGAAAAAGGAUUACAAGAUAAUGCUGUUUUCUCCGCCCUAUGCUUGAGCUAUAAAUACCUACCGGUACACCUCAAGCGAUGCUUUGCAUAUUGCAGUUUGUUUCCAGAGGACUAUAAGUUUGAUCCAGCACACUUGUUCCGCCUUUGGAUUGCCGAGGGUUUUGUUCAACCACAAGACAGGGCUGAAAAAAGGAUGGAAGACAUUGCUAGAGAAUAUUUUGAUCAGCUCCUUUCACGCUCAUUCUUCCAGGAAAUCAAGCUUGGAUCCAAGACGUACUACUUGGUGCAUGGCUUACUCCAUGAUCUUGCAAGGUCUGUUGCAGCGGAGGACUGUUUCCGUAUUGACGAUGGCACGAACUGUGACAUCCCGUUAACAGUGCGCCAUCUGUCUGUCACCAUGAACAGUCUACCUGCCCUCACAAGCUUCCGCAGUCUAAAAGAGUUGCGCACCUUGUUAAUCCGACCGUCACUUCCAUCCAACUCCAGUUGCUCCCAAGAGGAUUUUGCUGUGAAUUUAAAAAGUAUCCUGGAGAAGUCAAAACAGUUGCGUGUUCUUGAUCUCAGUUGCUUUAAGUCCAAAGAGUUGCCCCAAUGCAUUGAUGACUUAUUGCACCUCCGUUACCUAUCUAUCCAUGGCUCCAUCCAGAGGCUUCCUGAGUCGAUUGGCAAGCUCCUGCAUCUGCAAGUAUUGUGCUUCACUGGGAAAUGUUCUUUUGAUAAGCUUCCUGAGAACGUUACUAUGUUGGUCAAUUUGCGGCACCUUCUUGUUGAAACAAAGUGUACUGCAGGAUUGGCGGGCAUUGGUCGGCUAGCUAACCUUCAGGGAUCACUUGAGUUCCACAGUGAGAAGAGGGAAGGGCAUAGACUAGAAGAGUUGAGGAACAUCAAUGGUCUCCAUGGGCUACUAAAAAUAAAAGGUCUAGAAAAUGUUUCAAGCUAUGAAGAAGCCUGCAAAGCUGAGUUGAAUAAAAAAACACAUCUUAAUUCUUUGAACUUAGAAUGGAGCUCCGCUAGUAGGAAUAACCCUCCUCCUGCGGACGUAAAGGUACUUGAAGGCCUAAAGCCGCACCAAGACAUUAAGGUACUUAACCUUAGAAGGUAUUGUGGCGCCAGAGCUCCCAGCUGGCUACCAUUAUUGCAGCAGCUGCGUUCCUUGCACCUUACCAAUUGCAGGAGUUUGACCAUGCUUCCUCCACUGGGGCAUUUGGGAUCACUCAGACAUUUACACAUGAAGGAGCUGUGUGCGGUUGACUGUAUUGGACAUGAGUUUUAUGGCACUGGUGAUGUGGCAUUUCCAUCCCUAAACUUCCUUGAAUUUGAUGAUUUCCCAAGGUUGCAUGACUGGUCCGGAAUAGCACACGGAAAGUCAUUUCCAUGCCUUGAAAGAUUAAUCAUAAUGGAUUGUCCAAAAUUGGUCAAAAUUCCUCCCCUCCCCCCAACUACUUGUGAAGUUACCAUUGAGCGUACACAGUUAUUACCAUAUAUGAGGCUUGCCCCUUUUUCUUCGAGUUCAGAGAAGCUCCAACUGGAUGUUUGUACAACUAAUGUCCACUUCAACGGCUUACUUCAUGAACAGCACAGAGGAGCCAUUGUAGCCGUAAACAUAAGUGGUGCUGAGCAGUUCGUUGCUACUGAGGAAAUAGGGUCGCUUGUUUCUCUACAAAGGUUGCAGCUUAGUCGCUGUAAUUUUACUGACCAAAAUUUUAGUAGGUUUCUCCAGGCUCUCCCUUGUCUCUCCUCAUUGGAGAUGAUAGACCUGCCUAACAUGACAUCUCUUCCAGCAUCGGAAACACUUAAGUUCUGCACCAUGCUCACUGAGUUGUCCAUACGCAACUGCCAGCUUUUGCACUCUCUAUCCUCAUUGCAGUUUUUUGAUUCACUAAAAGUUCUGGUGAUCGAGAGAUGUCCUAAAAUUACUGCAACAUCAUUUCCGUUGAACUUUAGUAGCCUUUCAUCUCUCAAAGUGUUGAGAAUAUCAUACUGCUCAGAGCUCCAAUCUUUACCAGUAUGCGGUCUGCCAUCCUCAUUGGAAACACUUCAUAUUAUUGGGUGCCACCCGGAGUUGUCCAAACAGUCAAGAAAUAGGACAGCUGCUUUGGUACCUAGUGUGCCGAUUCAGUGA
This 2838-nucleotide ribosomal RNA is filed under the name Triticum aestivum (bread wheat). RNAcentral's name for it is "partial small subunit ribosomal RNA". The record is from RNAcentral. Lineage: Eukaryota; Viridiplantae; Streptophyta; Magnoliopsida; Poales; Poaceae.